Molecule: long non-coding RNA, 1202 nt
Filed under: Ornithorhynchus anatinus (platypus)
Lineage: Eukaryota; Metazoa; Chordata; Mammalia; Monotremata; Ornithorhynchidae
Description: lncRNA (ENSOANG00000048255.1)
Source: RNAcentral
GGUUGGACACAGUCCAUGAUGAGGGAACUGAGGUCCAGAGACGAGAAGUGACUUGCCCAGCGUCACAGACCAGGCAAGUUUGUGGAGCUGGGAUUAGAACCCAGGUUCUUCUGACUUCCAGGAGAAAGAAGCUGAGAAGUUGGAAGGAUUAGGAUAUGGUAGAGGCCAGAACCGCUGGCAGACUCCUAGAAGGGUGUCCAGGUGAUGGACCAGGAACCCAUGUGUCAAUCACUGUUUCAAGUACUGGGGUAGAUACAAGUUUAUCAGGCUAGAUAAAGUCCCUGUUCCUCAGGGGCCUCAAAGUCUAGAGAGAAGACAGAACAGGAAUUGAAACCCUAUUUUGCAAUUGGUGAUUGCAAUUGUACUGGCACCACUGCCAGUGAGGUUUUCCCCUAUAGAGAAUGAAUGGGUAACCACUAAAGCAGAAGUCAGGUAACAGUGUAGCAGGGAAAUUGGGAGGGGCUAGGAGACAUGGGAAACCCACUGGGGCUGGAACUGGGAGACUCAGGGCCCCUGAAACAAUUAACUGCGGCUCGAGCAAGGCAGGGAAGGUCCAGAAACUGGCUUUCUGUCAACUGACUGAAGCACCAGGAAAUGUGCCAAUGUGCAAGAAAUACCACGUUCCUCAAAAGGCUGGAGCCCCAGGUGCCGGGGAAGCUGUCUGCGGGAGCGAGCCUAACGCCGACGCCGGGGAGGCUGAGCCUUGGAGGCCGAGCCCCUGGAGGCGGAGCCCGUGGAGGCCGAGCCCGUGGAGGCCGAGCCCGUGGAGGCCGAGCCCGUGGAGGCCGAGCCCGUGAAGGCCGGGCGGGCUGAGCCCGGGGAGGUCGAGCCCGUGGUCGCUGAGCCCGGGGAGGCCGGGCGGGUUGAGCCCGUGGAAGCUGAGCCCGUGGAAGCUGAGCCCGUGGAAGCUGAGCCCGUGGAGGCCGGGCGGGCUGAGCCCGGGGAGGUCGAGCCCUUGGAGGCCGGGCAGGCUUAGCUGGUGGAAGCUUAGCCCGCGGAGGCCGAGCUCGGUCCGUCGGCGGUGAAGCCCGGGGUCCUCGCAGUUGUGGCGCAGCCUCGCCCCGGGCCCCGCCCCCGCCCCCAGACUGCGGCCGAGUUUCCCCAGCCGAGACGGCUCGGAGCUGCCCCUCGCCCCCUCCCCCUGCCCCACCGCACCUCCCCCACCCCCUUACCCCCCCCCCCACCCCCUUUCUCCCCCCGCC